Molecule: long non-coding RNA, 3104 nt
Filed under: Oreochromis niloticus (Nile tilapia)
Lineage: Eukaryota; Metazoa; Chordata; Actinopteri; Cichliformes; Cichlidae
Description: lncRNA (ENSONIG00000043042.1)
Source: RNAcentral
AUGCAUUUCUUCCCUACAGGGCUGCUGCCGGCGCUGUGUCUGGGAAUCGGCCUGACUUCCCUUCUUCUUUUCCCACUUCUCAUCAUGUAUCUACGAAAAUCAAGACAAGCCGCACCAGCCACUGAGAAUCAGCCCAAGGCUCCGUCGUCUGUUCAAGAUCCGAUCCCUUUGGUUCCUCUGUCCCUGGGUACAGUCGACCCUUGCGAGAUCCAUUUGGAAUUUAUUCCUGACCAUGUUUCCACUGAGCCCUUCUCUGGCAUCGUGUCCAAUCAGAAUCUAAAUCACAAACAGGGAAUCAUGCACUCCAGCAAUCGUCUCAAUUAUGACACCAAAUCGGAUGAAGUGUACUGGGACAGCGGAGGGAUGGAGCUAGGUUGCGGCCUGGACUCUGGCAUCAGCAUCCCACCUGUUUCUCGCUCCUCUGAAGAGACAUGUGGGCCCCUUGGAGACUGAUACUGAAAGGCUGAGAGCUUUCUCUUUGUAAAUGUUGCUCUGUAAGGCUGGAGUUUGCCUCUUUCUCCCUCAGGGAUGAAAUAGGAGACUAAACUGCUCAAAGUAUGGACAAACACAUUAUGAUUAUCUGGAAGCUGAAAACAAGUUGUCUUCAUAGAUUUUGGAAGCUAAACCUUUAAGCAAACAUUGAUGAGAAGGCCCUAAACACAGGAUAAAUGGAAGCCUUAAAAACAACAGUUUCAGAAAACCUUUUCUGCUGAUGAAGACCAAGUGAUAGGACUGAAACCUACAGACUGACUGUUAAAUAGAUAUCUGGGUUCAAAAAUGAACUGUAAUAGGAAACAAUUGUCUUUUCCCCAGUUUGUAAGUACACAUACACAAAAUCUUUAGCUGAAGUCGAGAGCACCUGGUUAGAUUUUUUUUGUCUGCAAAAAAUAAAUCUGCAGAACUGAGUUAAUUACAAUCACAUUAAAAAAGAACGUUUUCACAGGACUGGAUAGAGUCUUAAAAAAUAAGUAUACCCCAUGAUUUGGGUAUCCAGAGGAGUUCAUGGUUCACACAAUGACUCCAAGGUGUCCAGGUCCCGUGGCUGCAAAACAAGUCUAAAUCAUCACCGCUCCACCACCGUGUGUCACAGUGGCUAUGAUGUGUUUGGGUUUUCUCCAAAUGUGGUGCUGUGCUUCAUGGCCACAAUCUCCACUUAGGUCUCAUCUGUCCAAAGAACAUUGUUCCAGAACUUCUGUGGUUUGUUCAGAUGCAACUUUGCAACCUCAGCCGAGCUGCCUUUUUUCCAACAAACUCUCCAAACACACCAAAAAAUGCUCAGUUUUUUUCUUUGUACUGAUAUGAACCAUGCAAUUUAAGUGGCUAACUGAGCCCUGUAGCAUCUGAGAUAUAGCUUACAGGUUUUUGCUGUUUCUCAAAGACUUGCACUGUCUGACCUUGAGGUGAAUUUGCUGGGAUGUAAACUGGGAAGAUUUAGCAAUGCGUUAAAACACAAAUCGGGUAACUGCCAAAACGUCUGCUUGCAUAGAGGCUGUCAGACUUGCUGAUGAUCGGGUAAUCAAGUGCAUUUGAUUAUCACCACCUGGCCGCUACUUACCCUCUUAAUUUCUGUCAAAGCAGUAAAAGAUGUAUUUAGUUUUUCAUAGGACUGCACCGAGCCUGUGAACGCUUUCUUUUCCCAUGACUGCAGACCGCUCCGUACUGCAACUACAAAGACAACAGUUUGAACCAUUAAGAUCUGUUAGCUUAAUAUUUUAACCUUUAUUCAACUACUUCUAGUACAAAAUAACAGUGAUACGUUGUGUUCACCAGUGACCAUUUUUACCCAGUUAUCCAGUUGUGCUAUUAGCUAUUUCGACUGUUAUCCCUGCUAUUAGCUUGCAACUGAAAUGCUAGCCACUGCACUAUUGUGUUUCAAUUGUCUAUCCAUGAUAUCCAGUGGUAUCAUUUUCUUCUCAAAUAUGUCUAACUGUUAGCCAUAUUGCUUUUUAAUGAUCAAUUUCUAUCAUUUGUUCACAUUUUGGAUGUAUAUAUUUACAAAUUAUUACAUGGGCUGACCUCCUGGGAAGAUUGUAGCAACACAUUAACGCACAGUUGUGCUAUCAGCUAUUUCAGCUGUUAUCCUUGUUAUCUUACAAUUCACAUGCAAGCAACUGUAUUUUAACUGUUUAUCCAUUAUGUUUGAUGCAUUACCUUUUGAAAUAUGAUAGCCAGACUGCUUUUAAUUACCCUUUUCUAUCAUUUUGACCAAUAUUUUUUUAAAUAAUUUAUGCAUAUUGCCAUUACUUAGUUUUUUAAUUCUGCUUCUUAUUUUUUUGAAGGGGCGGGGGGGCUGCCAUGCUUGUUCAAGUCCACCCAGUUCUGUAAACCCCCAGCUGCUGUAGAAACAGGCUACGUCCUAAUUGGGAGUUACUGUGAGGCUUAUAAUGGGUCCUCAGCACCCAAUACUUGUCUUCUAUUUUGGUUCUAAUGAACAGACUGGCUGCUGUGUUGGUUGGUCAGGGGUAGCAGGGUUGUCCAAUGAGUUUUCACGAGUUCACACCCCCCAAGGAGCGUCUUUGACGUGGAUAAUGGCUCCCUUAGGUUUGUUUGGGUGCCGCCUGUGCUUAACUCGGACCUCUGAACUUUCCUUCUCAGAUUAGGCAUCACAUUGCAGAGAGACCGAUAAACAGAGGCCACCGGUUUACUGCUCACAUUAUGAUUGUGUUUUGUUGUCAGCUAUGAAGUAAUAGAAAUGUGGCUCCUAAUCUGAAACCUACAAGCAGAUUCCUGUCAGAUAUGAGUCAGUGUUGCAGGAACAGGGUCAGAGAACUGAAUGGUGAGUGAAAUUUAUCAGUCAAGCAAAAAUUGUUUAUCUGGGAGGUCCAAAAGAAGCCGUUUUGUGUGCGUGUGUAAACAUCAACUUACUCGGAGAAUGGUUCUUGUCCCCCCUGCUUUUUGUGCUGAAUUCCAGUCCAAACCAUAGCUUCAUAAACAAGAGCUAGGAAAACUUUAGACCCCCCACAUACUGCCGGCAGCUCUGCCGAUAACAUAGUGUGUUAUUUUUCUGUCAUUCAUUGCUGUAAAAUGUUUCUGACUCACAGUUGCCCCAUCAGAGCUUUGCUGCCUCUAACCCGUGACUCGCACCUCAUCCUGCAUGAAGACAA